GGAGUGGCGGCAGCCUACCAUGCAAGUCGAGCGGAUGAAGGGAGCUUGCUCCUGGAUUCAGCGGCGGACGGGUGAGUAAUGCCUAGGAAUCUGCCUGGUAGUGGGGGAUAACGUCCGGAAACGGGCGCUAAUACCGCAUACGUCCUGAGGGAGAAAGUGGGGGAUCUUCGGACCUCACGCUAUCAGAUGAGCCUAGGUCGGAUUAGCUAGUUGGUGGGGUAAAGGCCUACCAAGGCGACGAUCCGUAACUGGUCUGAGAGGAUGAUCAGUCACACUGGAACUGAGACACGGUCCAGACUCCUACGGGAGGCAGCAGUGGGGAAUAUUGGACAAUGGGCGAAAGCCUGAUCUAGCCAUGCCGCGUGUGUGAAGAAGGUCUUCGGAUUGUAAAGCACUUUAAGUUGGGAGGAAGGGGAAUAUGAUAGUACCUUGCGGUUUUGACGUUCCGAACGCAAUCCUAACAGGCAAGCUUCUUUGAUUGCCCGCGGCAGCCGAAGGGUUCCUUCCUUUUUUAUUUAUGCGGAUAAAGUACCGAACGGCUGCCUGACAGUUCCGUCAGAUUCGAUUCCUUUCGAACUGACAUGUCAGUACGUGUUGAUCUGAUCGCCCUGCCGUUCCAUUACUGGACAGCUUUAUAUCAGCUCAUACCUUGGAUGGCAUGGGUGUCCUGUUUCACUUGCCCAUAGCAUUAGCAUUGAAGAACGCCUACUCCACCAUGGUCAGACGUAUGAAGCAAUGAUCCUAAAUCUAGUAUUAGAGAUCACGGACUUCGUAAUUUUCAGAAUAAUCAGCUGAUCACUGAUCAUCUGAGCGCAUCGAACUCUGUCAUCUCUUCAUGAUGUUGAUCAUGUCACGCAUACGUUGAUUCCCAUAAUUCCCUCAAGACACUCUUUCAAGCUAUCUCAUCCCAUGGAUACUCUCGAUCACAGUCGAAGAUAAUCUCUGCGAAUACUCCCAAUUUAGUCCGCAUAUUCUCUAUUUUUUCCAUCUUAUUUGCCUUUAAUGAUUUGCUUUCCAUACCACGACAACCCCAGGAAAAUUAUUCCCAGGCCCCUUCUUGUGGAAAUUUUCCUUCCGGGAACAAUUAUUUCAUU
Molecule: ribosomal RNA, 1094 nt
Filed under: Pseudomonas aeruginosa
Lineage: Bacteria; Pseudomonadati; Pseudomonadota; Gammaproteobacteria; Pseudomonadales; Pseudomonadaceae
Description: partial 16S ribosomal RNA
Rfam family: Bacterial small subunit ribosomal RNA (bases 6-503)
Source: RNAcentral